UAGGGAAUCUUCGGCAAUGGACGGAAGUCUGAUCGAGCAACGCCGCGUGAGUGAAGAAGGUUUUCGGAUCGUAAAGCUCUGUUGUUAGAGAAGAACGUUGGUAGGAGUGGAAAAUCUACCAAGUGACGGUAACUAACCAGAAAGGGACGGCUAACUACGUGCCAGCAUCCGCGGUAAUACGUAGGUCCCGAGCGUUGUCCGGAUUUAUUGGGCGUAAAGCGAGCGCAGGCGGUUCUUUAAGUCUGAAGUUAAAGGCAGUGGCUUAACCAUUGUACGCUGUGGAAGCAGGAUUACUUUAGUGCAGAAGGGGAGAGUGGAAUUCCAUGUGUAGCGGUGAAAUGCGUAGAUAUAUGGAGGAACUCCGGUGGCGAAAGCUGAUCUCUGGUCUGUAACUGACGCUGAGGCUCGACAGCGUGGGGAGCAAACAGG
Molecule: ribosomal RNA, 429 nt
Filed under: Bacillota bacterium
Lineage: Bacteria; Bacillati; Bacillota
Description: Firmicutes bacterium partial 16S ribosomal RNA
Rfam family: Bacterial small subunit ribosomal RNA
Source: RNAcentral